This 304-nucleotide ribosomal RNA is filed under the name uncultured bacterium. Its description in RNAcentral is "partial 16S ribosomal RNA". It matches the Rfam family "Bacterial small subunit ribosomal RNA", at positions 506 to 807 of the family's 1533-position model. The record is from RNAcentral.
CAGCAGUCGCCACGGUAAUACGUAGGUCCCGAGCGUUGUCCGGAUUUAUUGGGCGUAAAGCGAGCGCAGGCGGUUUCUUAAGUCUGAUGUGAAAGCCCCCGGCUCAACCGGGGAGGGUCAUUGGAAACUGGGAAACUUGAGUGCAGAAGAGGAGAGUGGAAUUCCACGUGUAGCGGUGAAAUGCGUAGAGAUGUGGAGGAACACCAGUGGCGAAGGCGACUCUCUGGUCUGUAACUGACGCUGAGGAGCGAAAGCGUGGGGAGCGAACAGGAUUAGAUACCCCCGUAGUCCCUGUCUCUUAUAC